ACGCUGGCGGCGUGCCUAACACAUGCAAGUCGAACGGACUGAAUCCCUUCGGGGAUGAAAGUUAGUGGCGGACGGGUGAGUAACGCGUGAGCAACCUGCCUUUCAGAGGGGAAUAACGUUUGGAAACAGACGCUAAUACCGCAUAACGCAUAGGAGUCGCAUGGCUUUUUAUGCCAAAGGAGCAAUCCGCUGAAAGAUGGGCUCGCGUCCGAUUAGAUAGUUGGUGGGGUAACGGCCUGCCAAGUCGACGAUCGGUAGCCGGACUGAGAGGUUGAACGGCCACAUUGGGACUGAGACACGGCCCAGACUCCUACGGGAGGCAGCAGUGGGGGAUAUUGCACAAUGGGCGAAAGCCUGAUGCCAGCAACGCCGCGUGAGGGAUGACGGUUUUCGGAUUGUAAACCUCUGUCUUUGGUGACGAAUUCAUGACGGUAGCCGAGGAGGAAGCCACGGCUAACUACGUGCCAGCAGCGGC
RNAcentral lists this ribosomal RNA (475 nucleotides) under uncultured bacterium. RNAcentral's name for it is "bacterial SSU rRNA". It matches the Rfam family "Bacterial small subunit ribosomal RNA", at positions 33 to 518 of the family's 1533-position model. The record is from RNAcentral.